AUGACUAGAGACAACCUGAGGAAAAGACACAUUAUCAAACUGUCGGAAUGUGUUUUCUGUGCUGAGCAGGAGACAAACCACCAUUUAUAUUCUGACUACAUAGUAGCCAGCAAUAUUUGGUCGUUUGUCAACCUCUUCUUCUAAAAUAAUUUGGGUAUAAACUUUGAAUCUGUGGCCCACUUUUGGAUUUCUAAUAAAAAGAAUUUGACUUUGAAUGUAGUUAGCUCUAUUGUCCUUUGGUGUUUAUGGAAAUAUAGGAACUCUAUGAUUUUUAAUAACAUCAUCUGGACAUCUAUUAUUCAGGUGUGGAGACUGAUUCAUAGAGUGCUCAAAUUCUGGGUGACUCUAACCCUAGAAACAAGCAAAAACUAGGUGGAGGCAUUUUUAGUGCGCUGGCGAAACUACUCCAACAACCCUUAA
RNAcentral lists this ribosomal RNA (420 nucleotides) under Triticum aestivum (bread wheat). RNAcentral describes it as "partial small subunit ribosomal RNA". Lineage: Eukaryota; Viridiplantae; Streptophyta; Magnoliopsida; Poales; Poaceae. The record is from RNAcentral.